RNAcentral lists this long non-coding RNA (1122 nucleotides) under Olea europaea (common olive). RNAcentral's name for it is "long non-coding RNA (OEUR_LNC012640)". The record is from RNAcentral. Lineage: Eukaryota; Viridiplantae; Streptophyta; Magnoliopsida; Lamiales; Oleaceae.
ACGGAUUCAUUCCAUGGAUGAUUAUUUCAUGACUGAAGUUGAAAGGGUACUUAUAUGUCUUCUUAUUAGUCAUGCUCUAAAUAAAAGUUUUGAUCUCUCAUUUAUAAAAGAAGUUCUCAGUGGAAAGUGGGUGGUUUUCUUACGGCCUAUUGUAGAAGAUAUACAUGAAGAGGAUUUAAGCACUAUUUUCUCGUUAAUAGGUUGAGAGCGAGGUUUCAAAAUCUUCUGGUUCUGUUCGUGGGAAAAAGGCAGUCACGAAGGUCAUGGAGUACUGUUAUGAACCGGAAAUGGAAGAGGUGACGAAAUAUAUCUCUUACUUCUUCUAUAUUUAUUAGCUUAAUAUGUAUCUGCAGUGCAUAUUUAGAUACCCUAUCUUUUAGUCCAUAAGAUUUAUUUUUACCCUUCAUUGGUAAAAACUAGUUGAUGCUGCCCUAAGUUGAGCAUAAAAGGGAUCUUAUAAUAUUGGAAUAAUACUAUGUAGCAUUGCUGAUAUAUAUUACCAGUCUACAUGGAAACACACGUGGCAUUAAGCUAUAGGUGCAAUUAAAUGUAGGGAUAUAGGACCUAUUUAAUUGGACCUAUUAUUUAAUGCCACGUAGACUUCUACGUAGCAUUCCUCAUAAUAUUGUAAACUUAAUUUUGAUGAACCAUAUAAUUUUACUAAUUUUAUGGAUUUGAAAUGAGGUAAACUAAUAGCCCAAAUCUAUCGGAAUUUUUAAAAAUAUUUAAUUGGGUAUUGAUGCGUGGGCCUCGAUGUGCUUUGAGGUGUAAACCUCUGGACAAAACAGUAAAAUAAUAAAAAUAAAAAUAAAAGAAAAAAGUAUGUGCAUGAUAAACCAUAUACCAUUUUAAAGAUUGAGCCCCUAUUUUGCCCCAUUCUCUAAAACACAUUUUUCCUCAAACUUGUAUUCAACCACACAUUUCAUAAAACUCACAACUUUAAUUAAUUUUUAACCACACAUCACAUUAACUUUUUAUCAAAAUAUACUGAAAAUCUAUUUCUAACUAAGCCUAACAGGGCUUAAUAAUAAAACUAAUUAACAAAAUUAAAGUCUAACUUGAAAACAUACAUAAAGUUUAUCAAUAAAAUGACAAAUAAUAAAUUCUCAAAUUAGUGAUCAC